This is a long non-coding RNA of Peromyscus leucopus (white-footed mouse), 2805 nucleotides long. RefSeq lists it as uncharacterized. The record is from RefSeq and is a predicted model, not a curated record. NCBI's taxonomy places the organism in Eukaryota, Metazoa, Chordata, Mammalia, Rodentia, Cricetidae. The transcript has 3 exons.
UCUUCAGAGAGCAGAUCCUGGACUAGGGAGGACACCGAGUUGACAAGUCAGUCAUGGAUUCUGAAACACAAGGCUGCAAACCCAGGUUUUCCUAGAAGACUUGAGUCAUUGGGUAACUCUGCCUGUGGUGUUUGAGUACGGAUGGCACCUGAGACAUAAGAGGCGGGACCUGGGUCCAGACUCAAAGCUGUUUUCCAGACUGCUCCCGGAAGAUCAUUAUUUUUCAUUGGAAUCGACAGGAAGGGGGAACAAAGCUGCAAUCAAUAAAAGCUUCUUUGGAAACGGCAUGCGUUCCCAUGAUCCAUCGUGCAAUGAUCUAUGCAGCAGGGGGCUUUUCCGUUAUGUCUGCGGAGGCCAGGAGAAAUACACUUCAGGAGGCUGGGCAUCUAGAGCCUCUCAGGUGGUGAUGGGGAAGGAAAAACACUCUCAAGAGGGUCCAGUCAUUGAAGAAACUCGGAGGUGAUCGUUCUUAAAGUGGGGUCCCCCACUACAGCAGCAUGGCCUGGGGACCCUGCAGAUGUAGAUCCUCAGGUCCCACCCCAACACCUGUCAAACAAAAAACCUGGGUAGGGGGUAAUCUGGGUUGGAAGGACUCAGGCAAUCCUGCUGCAAGUGGCAGUUGGGUACCACUGUUUUCUGCCUCACAAACCCAGAGGCUUGGAUGGGACAUGGACUACAGCUCUCUGCUCAGAAAUUGGUCCAACCUGGACAUUAACUCCUACCUUGCUUCGCAGACAGGACCCCAGUCAGAGCGCUACUGCUGGACUUGCCUUGGCUCUUGGAGUUUUUCCGCCUCUCGAGAGCAUUCUGCAACAGCAAUAGAAAAACCAAAAACCUAGUCAGGAAAGACAGCGAUGGAAAAAUACUUUGUUAAGGGGAUACACCCCGUGUACUCACAAGAUCACUGGCAGACUCCAAAUGUAGCCUAAAACAUAGAACUCUCAAUCCUUGGGAUUUUAAAAGACUCCAUAUAGAGAGCUUGAUUGGUUUUUAAGUUACCGCAAAGGAGAAAGGCAGCAACUGUAGUCUCUUAUCUAACAUGUAGAGAGUUUGUUAUGGAAAUCACUUUAGAACAGACAUGAGAUGAAGACUACAUUUGCUUUCAUGUACCAAUGGUGGUAUCUGGAAAGAUAUGACGUUUGGAUUGUAAAAGGAUCAUGGUCAGUUAGUGAUGUCUGCCUUGGACACGGGAUUAAGUACACAUGUUGCUAUGGUCAUUCUUAGAAUGGACUCUUGUCUUCACACUGAUGUAUAGUAGUCAGCCAUUGUUUUCGAAUAUGAACACGAUACAUGACACAGGAAAGGAUGCAUAUGGUUAUAAAUGCAUAUACUAAAAAGCACAUACUUCCUUCUUCAUGUUUAUAUACAGAUUGAUGUAAACGAGAGUGUGGCUCCCACCAAAUGGAAAGCCAUGGUGAUCUCUGAGGACAAAGCCAAUGUCAACAACCAGGACAAUGAGCCAGCUCUCCCUAGAAUUCUGUUGGCUAUAAAACUUCCACAGCGGGAAGAACCAUCAAUCUAUUUUCAAAGCAGAGAGUCCCAGGAGAGUUUUCCAAUUAUAACACUUACAACUAACACUGCAGAAAUAGAUAUUAUCCAACCAAUGGAGUUGGAAUUGGACUAAACAACAGUGAGGCAAAUUCAAACACUCUCCCCUCUCUGUGUGCCUUGAACAUCAGCAUUUGGGUUGUGAUGCUCCAUCCUUGCUUCUCCCACAGAAACCAUUUUCUUGGGGAUAAUUAUGAGAUAAACAGCAUCUGACAACUAGACAUUUCAUAGAGGAAGCAGAGAGGACCCCUGAGGUCAAAGGGCUGAGACUCCAAGAUGGAAGCACAUAGGUUUUGGAGUUCCCAGGAUGCCCUGUCCAGACUAUAGACAUAGAAACAGAUACUGGGGGCGGGGGCAUGGCGUUGGGAGUUGACCUUUUUGUGGUUGGUUUCACUGGCUAUUCCAAUUAGGGGUCUUACUGGACUCCACUUGGGAGGACAGGAAAGGGAUGGAAUGUCUUUGAAACGUAAGAGGGAAUGAAAACAGGCUGACAGGCAGAUGCUGAGUGGAGAAUCACAGACUUGGUCUUGAUUGUGUUACCUUGUAUUUGGCAAUGUUUGACUUCAGAAGGCUGACCUCCUCAUGGAGUUGUUUCAAUCUCUCUUGGAGAUAUCUAGAAGAAAAAAAAAAUCCACAUAACCAGGAUGGGCAUGGGGGAGGAAUGAAGCCCACUGAAUGAUAAGAGCAAAACAUGAAGCCCAGGUGUCAUUUGUGUGUAACGACUUCUUUCUCAUCCUGGAGGGCAGGGGCAGGGAAGUGUGACCUUUUAUGAAACGGAUUCGAUCAAGGUCAGACAUGCCUGAAGCACAGACACCCCAUUUUAAAAACAGCCCUCUCGGAGAUCCCCUAAGGGACAACAACAUCCUUUUCAUAUAAUUCUCAUUAAGUGAUUCCACCAGGGAGCAAACCAGGAAGAGAAGACGCCAGCCAUAACACGAGUCAGACACAUCCACACGCUGAAAUGUGCCUGGGGGGAAAGACACAGCUAAGGGAAUUUCUCAAUUUAUUUUCUUAUUCUUUCUCCUCUCCUUGACAGCAAUCACAAACAACGCUUCCUGGUUCUUCAUCCUUGUGGCCCAAACAGAGGUGUGGGAAGCGAGGGAGGCUGGAUAAGUGGGCGUCUCUCCCUUCUCUUCUUACUUUUGUAACCAGUCCAUGCCAUUGCCAAUAUUUGGGCUCUGUGACUUGCUCUUUAUUCCCAUCGCAGCUGUCUCAAGUGCAGGCAGGCUGCAGGAACCCCCAGACUGCCUCCCUCAG